Molecule: long non-coding RNA, 377 nt
Filed under: Citrus sinensis (sweet orange)
Lineage: Eukaryota; Viridiplantae; Streptophyta; Magnoliopsida; Sapindales; Rutaceae
Description: long non-coding RNA (CSIN_LNC005566)
Source: RNAcentral
AAAAAAAACUUUAAAGAUUCUAGUGGAUUGCUCCAGGAAAAUGAUAUUCGGCCACCACGAAAACAUAACGAAGCCAGAAACGCAUGCUUUCUCUGCCGUUUCGAAGUUUUUGAUUUAAAAAUUGAAAACAAAUUUUACCAUUAAAAAAAUAAUAAAAGCUAAUGAAAAGAAAUUAAAAAAUCUAAAUUCUUAGAAAACAAAUUUUACCAUUAAAAAAAUAAUAAAAGCUAAUGAAAAGAAAUUAAAAAAUCUAAAUUCUUAUGCCUCCCCUCACUCACCCCCUCUCUGACUCACCCACUCUGUCUCUCUCACUCUUACCCACGAAGCUCGUUCCCCUCGAAAUUUUGCUCAGAUCUCAGCUAACAAAUCAUCAAAAC